GGGAGACGCGGGUGCAGAGGGAGAGCUGGGCGCCAUUAUGUAACAACGCAGUAACGAGCCCGAGGAAACUAGCCUAGCCGCAUUUGAGGUCUCCUGUGCCGAAAACCGCCUGUACCGGGAUUGCAAAUUUGUGAGUGCGUCACACCAAUAUGGCGGCUUGAGGAAAAGUCUCUUUUGGCUGCACGUUCGGUGCUGCUCACGUGACCUCGUUGCCUGGUAAUAGAGCUUGGCCGCGAGUCAAGUGGUUAUAGACGGAUGUGGGGGAGGGAAGGAGGAGUUCGAGGCCUCUGCUGGGGGUGAUUCAGUCUGGACAACAGUUCACCAUUUUCCUGCACACUUGUAUACGGCUUGUCAUGUUCAUAGUGUACUGCACACCCUUCCUGUAUUGCCUUGGGGAAACUCAGCACCCUAACCUGGUUGGAUAGCUAAUGCUAUGUGUCUGACAUAAGCUCACAGUGGGGUGUCUGCUGCUGUUUUAAUGGAAAUGUGUGAUAGAAGGAUUUCGUAUAUUCAAAGUGGUUGUCUUAGAAUUAAUGUUUUUAAUUUUUUUGUAAGUCUAAACAAUUCAUUAUCAAACCUGGUAAGCUGCCAGAACCUUGGAUGAAUUAACACUGAAUUUACUUGAA
Molecule: long non-coding RNA, 626 nt
Organism: Hyla sarda
Lineage: Eukaryota; Metazoa; Chordata; Amphibia; Anura; Hylidae
Exons: 2
Source: RefSeq, a predicted model, not a curated record